GGGUCCCUUGGAGAACAGUUGUUUGGUCAAGGGUACACGAGUAGCUGCACUCCCCUGCUAGAACCUCCAAACAAGCUCUCAAGGUUCAUUGGUAGGAGAAUGUAGGGCAGUCAAGCUUCCAAGACUUCAGACACAUCCAAAUGAAUUGCUGGAUGUGGCAGUCUGCCUUUCUUU
This 174-nucleotide small nuclear RNA is filed under the name Canis lupus familiaris (dog). Its description in RNAcentral is "7SK RNA". It matches the Rfam family "7SK RNA", at positions 113 to 331 of the family's 331-position model. Rfam says of the family: 7SK was discovered as an abundant small nuclear RNA in the mid-70s but a possible function has only recently been suggested. Two independent studies have found that 7SK RNA binds the CDK9/cyclin T complex (known as elongation factor P-TEFb). The record is from Rfam by way of RNAcentral. RNAcentral also lists the same sequence under 1 other name. Lineage: Eukaryota; Metazoa; Chordata; Mammalia; Carnivora; Canidae.